Molecule: long non-coding RNA, 1020 nt
Organism: Papaver somniferum (opium poppy)
Lineage: Eukaryota; Viridiplantae; Streptophyta; Magnoliopsida; Ranunculales; Papaveraceae
Exons: 4
Source: RefSeq, a predicted model, not a curated record
CUGCAACAAAAUUAGUAGUUACUACUAUUCCUAUGAAACCUAAUUUAGGUUCCCGACACGCUCCUCGUAUCUUAUUUUUUGAAAAUUUUACGAAUCUCGCUUCCGAUCUCGCUCCCGCUUCCGAUCCCGCUCUCGUUCUUGGUUAUUAAGAUAAAUACCCAUAAAUUGUAUAUAGAUGAAAGUCUAGAAGAUAGAGAAGCUUUACAUACGAGUUACGGGAAGGUUUUGAACAUUGAUGUGAGAUAUUUCCCCAUGAAAUAGGAAUUGAUGUGAGAUAUUCAUUGGUCAAUGUGGAAUGAAUGGGUUUGACAUACAUGGGUCUGGUAAGUAGAGAUGAUCCGGAAAAUGAAGAUGCUGGAAACUAGGCCAGCAGAAAACUCCUAAAAGAGGAACUACCAAAGAUUUUCGUGGAGGAAAUUAAUGAGCAGAACGAUGAGGCCGAACCGAAGGUGAUUGAUAAAGACGAUGGUCUUAUAGUGGAGGAGGCUAAGUUUGGUAGUACCGAACAUACUGCAUUGUACGCUCGCAUUAUUCGAGUGUUAGACAUGGGGAUGAGGCCAACAGGAAAUCCCUGAAGGAGGAACUAGUGAAGAUUGUAGAGGAGGAUAAUAGUAAGGAGAAUGUUGAAACCAAAGCUAAGGUGAUUGACGAAAACUAUGGCUUGAUACUUGAUAGUGGAUAAGGAUAAAGUUGAUAGAAGCAAAGAGACUGUUCUAUUUUGGGGUAUGCGGAAUUAGUUGAUCGCUGUGGGAAAGAGUUUAAGGCUAAGCAGGAAGCCAACAGAAACUCCCGAGAAGAGUCACCACUGAAGAAGAAGAAGAAGAAGUCUGAGGAUAAAAAUGGUGAUGAUGCCAAGGAUUCAGAGUAAAUAAACCUAUGUGGUGGUUUGAGAGAGUUUACCAAGUGCUUUUGAGUACUACAUUUUGUUUUCUUUUCAUGUGAGUCAUUCUCAUGUUAAAGAACUUUUGCCGACUGUCAACUCUUGUUAAAGAUAAAAUAAAAGUUGAUUCUUUAGCUGAA